This 835-nucleotide unclassified non-coding RNA is filed under the name Hevea brasiliensis (rubber tree). Lineage: Eukaryota; Viridiplantae; Streptophyta; Magnoliopsida; Malpighiales; Euphorbiaceae. The record is from RNAcentral.
GAAAAUCUCUUGUGUCCUCUCCCAAUGUGCGCACGAUAGUAGUUGCUCUUUCAUACAUGUCUUUCGAUACUUGUAUGUACCAAAGUAAUCUACUAUGUAUGCUAAUCUCUGGAUAUCUAACUUUGUCAAGUGCCUGUCAUACCUUUGUCAGUGAUGGCCAUCUCCAGGUUAUUCCAACUUAAACCAUUUUCGUAAAUUUCAUAUCAGAUUGUGAAAGCAUAAGCAAACAAAUAAACAGUAAGCACACAUCACUAUUUUCCCCUAAUUUUCUUUAUAUCUUUGGCUCAAGUUCAACAGAGAUAUGGGAUUGCAGGAAAUUGCAAUCCCUACCUCAUGCUAGACCAUUACUCUUUUUUUACCAGCUUAUACCUGAAAAACUGGGAAAUAUCACCAUUUAACUACUAUGCACACUGAUCUCAUCAAAGAAAUUUUCCAUUAGCUCAUAUGCAGGAAUAGAUUACCAAUUACUACAAAUUGUCUACUGCUUAUGUCAUCUCAGAAGUUGUACUUUAAUAUGGUUAGUUGGCAAUAGACCCUACAGGUUGAAAUAUAAUUAUAGUUAAUUAGUUACUACUUCACCAAUAUGAGUUGUGUAUAAAUUAACAAGAAUAUCCAAUAACAGACAAGCAGUCUAGCAUUGAAAAACACUACUGUGUAGCAAUUUCAUUCCUUCUAAUUUCUUCAAGGUUCAAUAAAGCUUCCCAGAUACAAUAAUUAACCAUUAACAUUCUAUUCUAAUACAAUAAUUAACCAUUAGCAUUCUAUUCUACAUACAAUAAUUAACCAUUAACAUUCUAUUCUAAUACAAUAAUUAACCAUUAGCAUUCUAUUCUAC